Long non-coding RNA from Gadus morhua (Atlantic cod), 491 nucleotides. RefSeq lists it as uncharacterized. NCBI's taxonomy places the organism in Eukaryota, Metazoa, Chordata, Actinopteri, Gadiformes, Gadidae. The record is from RefSeq and is a predicted model, not a curated record. The transcript has 2 exons.
CCAAGGGUCCUUCAAAUGCGUCCUACGAAUGCAGCCUUCUUUUCCCGGAUUUGAAGGAUGCAUCGGCUGUAUCCUUCACGGCCCAACGUAUCCCAAGAUCCUUCACGGCCCAACGUAUCCCUCCCAAGAUUCAUUGCGCAUUCAAUCAAAACAAUAAGAAACAAUGGCGGAGAAUGUAGAUUUGAGUUUUGCAUUUAAAUGGAGCCAGCAGCAUACUGCUCAAUUUAUCAAACUGAGGGGGGAGAAUGACGAGCUCUUCACCGGGGUGGAACAUUCUGCGAGUGUGGCUUGGGGGUAAGGAAACAAUCGUUUAUUUAUGUCGUAAGUUAGUUUAUAAAAAUUAUUAUAGGCCAUUUAUAUAUCUAAAUUUGACCAUCUUGUAAAGGUUAGUUAAAUUAGCCCUCAUUAAAUAGCAGGACGGAUACAACAUCCCCAGAAAUCGUUUACUACGAUGUCCUAUUUUGGGUUAUUAAAGAAAGAAAGACAAAAAA